This 512-nucleotide ribosomal RNA is filed under the name Salmonella enterica. RNAcentral's name for it is "bacterial SSU rRNA". It matches the Rfam family "Bacterial small subunit ribosomal RNA", at positions 1003 to 1515 of the family's 1533-position model. Lineage: Bacteria; Pseudomonadati; Pseudomonadota; Gammaproteobacteria; Enterobacterales; Enterobacteriaceae. RNAcentral also lists the same sequence under 2 other names. The record is from RNAcentral.
GAGAUGGAUUUGUGCCUUCGGGAACCGUGAGACAGGUGCUGCAUGGCUGUCGUCAGCUCGUGUUGUGAAAUGUUGGGUUAAGUCCCGCAACGAGCGCAACCCUUAUCCUUUGUUGCCAGCGAUUAGGUCGGGAACUCAAAGGAGACUGCCAGUGAUAAACUGGAGGAAGGUGGGGAUGACGUCAAGUCAUCAUGGCCCUUACGACCAGGGCUACACACGUGCUACAAUGGCGCAUACAAAGAGAAGCGACCUCGCGAGAGCAAGCGGACCUCAUAAAGUGCGUCGUAGUCCGGAUUGGAGUCUGCAACUCGACUCCAUGAAGUCGGAAUCGCUAGUAAUCGUGGAUCAGAAUGCCACGGUGAAUACGUUCCCGGGCCUUGUACACACCGCCCGUCACACCAUGGGAGUGGGUUGCAAAAGAAGUAGGUAGCUUAACCUUCGGGAGGGCGCUUACCACUUUGUGAUUCAUGACUGGGGUGAAGUCGUAACAAGGUAACCGUAGGGGAACCUGC